GACGAACGCUGGCGGCGUGCCUAAUACAUGCAAGUAGAACGCUGAAGGAGGAGCUUGCUUCUCCGGAUGAGUUGCGAACGGGUGAGUAACGCGUAGGUAACCUGCCUGGUAGCGGGGGAUAACUAUUGGAAACGAUAGCUAAUACCGCAUAACAGUAGAUGUUGCAUGACAUUUGCUUAAAAGGUGCAAUUGCAUCACUACCAGAUGGACCUGCGUUGUAUUAGCUAGUUGGUGAGGUAACGGCUCACCAAGGCGACGAUACAUAGCCGACCUGAGAGGGUGAUCGGCCACACUGGGACUGAGACACGGCCCAGACUCCUACGGGAUGCAGCAGUAGGGAAUCUUCGGCAAUGGACGGAAGUCUGACCGAGCAACGCCGCGUGAGUGAAGAAGGGUUUCGGAUCGUAAAGCUCUGUUGUAAGAGAAGAACGAGUGUGAGAGUGGAAAGUUCACACUGUGACGGUAUCUUACCAGAAAGGGACGGCUAACUACGUG
Molecule: ribosomal RNA, 495 nt
Filed under: uncultured bacterium
Lineage: Bacteria
Description: partial 16S ribosomal RNA
Rfam family: Bacterial small subunit ribosomal RNA
Source: RNAcentral